This 588-nucleotide long non-coding RNA is filed under the name Capsicum annuum. RNAcentral describes it as "long non-coding RNA (CANN_LNC019241)". Lineage: Eukaryota; Viridiplantae; Streptophyta; Magnoliopsida; Solanales; Solanaceae. The record is from RNAcentral.
CAUAUUAGUUCUAUGAAUACAGCUUAUAUUCUUAUGCUUUCCAUAGAAUCAUGUACGAUUCCAGUUUCCCAGCAUAAGGAGUUCAGUUCUAUUUCCCGCAGUAAUAUAAAUCAUGUCCCACGAAUGCAAAAAACUCCAAACUCAGGUCAUGAAGCUCAUGACUCAUGUACACAUAUCAUGAUUUACAAUAUACUCAGCUUCCAUGGCUCAUGCUACUCCUUUAAUGAUCAGUUAAAUUCAGACUAUGUUAUCCAUAUCCUCAGUUUAGACCUCUUGGUAAGUCCAUGAUAUUUAUAUUCUAUUCCUUAGGCUUCAGUGAAGUGUCAAGUUUAGUUAGUGUCCAUUUAUGCUUCAGGUCCUCCUGAGCUAACCCUUCAGUGAGCUCUCUUUGUGAAAACAGUGUAGUGAUGGGCAGUUUCUUAAAGGGCAGAGAGUAAAUAUUACAUAUUAAGAGAAGAUUGAUGCAUGGUUGUUUUACAUAAGGGUGUAGUUAUGAAGAUAGGCUUGAAUGUCAUGUUAGUGUGCAAGUAAAUGUCUUGCAAAAAGUUGUAUUUAGAAGUUGGGAAAGUACAGAGUGUGAGUGUGUAU